RNAcentral lists this ribosomal RNA (497 nucleotides) under uncultured bacterium. Its description in RNAcentral is "partial 16S ribosomal RNA". It matches the Rfam family "Bacterial small subunit ribosomal RNA", at positions 28 to 507 of the family's 1533-position model. The record is from RNAcentral.
GACGAACGCUGGCGGCGUGCCUAAUACAUGCAAGUUGAGCGCUGAAGGUUGGUACUUGUGCCAACUGGAUGAGCAGCGAACGGGUGAGUAACGCGUGGGGAAUCUGCCUUUGAGCGGGGGACAACAUUUGGAAACGAAUGCUAAUACCGCAUAAAAACUUUAAACACAAGUUUUAAGUUUGAAAGAUGCAAUUGCAUCACUCAAAGAUGAUCCCGCGUUGUAUUAGCUAGUUGGUGAGGUAAAGGCUCACCAAGGCGAUGAUACAUAGCCGACCUGAGAGGGUGAUCGGCCACAUUGGGACUGAGACACGGCCCAAACUCCUACGGGAGGCAGCAGUAGGGAAUCUUCGGCAAUGGACGAAAGUCUGACCGAGCAACGCCGCGUGAGUGAAGAAGGGUUUCGGAUCGUAAAACUCUGUUGGUAGAGAAGAACGUUGGUGAGAGUGGAAAGCUCAUCAAGUGACGGUAACUACCCAGAAAGGGACGGCUAACUACGUG